This 7069-nucleotide long non-coding RNA is filed under the name Nicotiana benthamiana. RNAcentral describes it as "long non-coding RNA (NBEN_LNC031973)". Lineage: Eukaryota; Viridiplantae; Streptophyta; Magnoliopsida; Solanales; Solanaceae. The record is from RNAcentral.
AAGGGAAAAAUAACAACUAAAAAUCUUCAUACUAAAGAACAUAUUUCACUCGAGCUUCAUACAUUAAUGAUCAUUGAAAUGUACCUGUAAUUAAGUAGAGAAUGGAAACCUAUGAGUAAAUGCAAUUAAUCACCCAAGCAAACAAUAGCCAAUCGAACAGUACACCCAGGUUUUCAGCAGAGUUUUGAGAAAAUUAAAAUCCCAAAAAGAAUAAGAACAACACUGAUAGUUUCUCAUAGAUAUAGGAAGAACCAAUGUGUAUUAUUCUUUCUAGAAUUCAAUAGAAAAGUUCCAGAUCCUUUAAAAAAUGCUAAGAUGAUUUCUUUUAUAAUGGAGCCUUUGGGCACCAUUUUUCCUUUGUUUUUUUCCUUUUAGUCCCUGAGUUAGUUUUCAGCUUUUCUUAAAUGAUCCUUCAUUUCCUGACUUGUGCCUCAAGUUUGAGGAAGAAAUUAUGUUUUAAUCCCUCACUAGAAUGUUCUAGGGGGUUAUCACCAGAUUCCUUUAAGGUUCAAAUUCCCAUUAUACCAUAUUUCUUUCUUAAAUAACCAACCUGAAAUUUUAACCUUAGUUAUUCCCUAACCCUGGUCGAUUGUGUUUGGGUUAUGGGCCAAGGUUUGGUCUGGAUUAACAGGUCCAUUGGAUCUAUAAAACUAAGUGUCCUAAUAUGGAUUGUCUUAUCAGUUAUUAUAUCUUAGGAUCAUAAAUAUUCAGGUAUCUUUAUAUUAAAACCAAUGGAUCACUAUCAACCAAAAAACCAAUCAACUAAUACUCAUUAUACGAAAAUCCUAAUUAAAUCACUCAACAAAAGCUUGAACGCAGGGAUUGAACACUUAGUUCAUGAACAAAAUUAGGGAGCAAUUAAAGGUUCAACCAAACAAAUCAGCCAAAAGUAUGCCAGUAUUGAAGAUAAAAAAUUACUAUGAAAAUCAAACACUUAGUAGAAUAAACGCCUAACCAAACUAAUCAAAAUAUCAGGGAAUAAAACAAAUGAAGAUCAUGAGAUGAAGGUCAACAAAAAAAAGAAAUCACAUUACUGCAGAAUCAACAAAAUAGGCUUUCAGGUUCAAGGAGCUAAUAUUAACAGGAUAUCAAAUCAUUCAAGAGAAGAAGGGAUUUCAAACUAAUAACAACCAAAAGCAUAUAACUAAUGAACCUAUUUCAUAUGAGAUUGUGGAAAAACAAACAAGAAAUCAAAGAAUCUAACAAUUAGCAAAAUGAAGCAAAUAUAUACGAGGAAAGACAGAGUACUUAGCUUUUGAUUUACACAUGCAAAUCCACUUGAGACCAUUUCGUUGGUUUCUGACCCCUUCUGUAGAGGUCUCAAGAAACGUAUUUUGGACUGAUGAGUUUGAGGGGUUCAGGACUGGGGUUCUGGUGAUUUUGAGACUCAUGUGAGGUCUCAGAUUUGAGUUUUCUCGGUGAUUGGUGGUAUUUGGGGGCUGUGUGGGGUAUGGUUUGGGAAAGAAAUAGACGGGGACUGUCUAAGAUGAACUUGACCAAAUUCCAACAGGUUUAAUUUUUAGGGUUAAACUUCAACUUAAUAUUCGAAACGUUUUGAAUGGAUUUGAAGGGUGUAAAACACAUGGUUGGAAAGAGAGAGGUUUGAGUUGUUUCAACGGUUUAAGUUUGGAGGGGUUUGGAGUUGAGUCGCUGGAGUGGGGGGUUCCGACGGCCUUUCUGUGAAGAUUUGAGAUAAUGGGGGGUCGUUUGAAAGAAAUGGAUUGCAGGAUGGGGAAGGGGAGGUUCUGAUGGUCCUACGGUGUAAUGUUGGGGAGGUUUGGAAAGGGUCGCUAGAGACGGUGGUUCCGAAGACCUUAUUUUUAAUAUUCAAGACGGAGGAGACUUAUUCGAUGGAAACUAAUCACAUGACGGGAAAGAAGAGGUUGUGAUGGUUUUAUGGUGUAAACGCCUAACAAAACUAAUCAGAAUAUCAGGGAAUAAAAUAAAUGAAGAUCAUGAGAUGAAGGUCAAAAAAACACAGAAAUCACACUACUGAAGAAUCAACAAAAUAGGCUUUCAUAAUCAAGGAGCUAAUAUUGAUAGGAUAUCAAAUCAUUUUGACGAAGGGAUUUCAAACUAAUAACAACCAAAUACAUAUAACUACUGAACCUAUUUCAUAUGAGAUUGUGGAAAAACAAACAAGAAAUCAAAGCAUCUAACAAAUAGCAAAAAUGAAGCAAAUAUAUACAAGCAAAGACAGAGUACAUAGCUUUUGUUUUACACAUGCAAAUCCACUUGAGACAAUUUUGUUGGUUCCGAACCCCUUCUGCAGAGGUUUCUAUCAACUUACUAAUGGGUUCUAGGGGUUCAGGAUUGGGGUUCUGGUGAUUCUGAGACCCUGUGAGGUCUCAGAUUUGAGUUUUCUCGGUGAUUGGUGGUAUUUGAGGGCUGUGUGGGUUAUGGUUGGGGAAAGAAAUAGACGAGGACCGUCUGAGAUGAACUUGACCAAAUUCCGACAGGGUUGAGUUUUAGGGUUAAACUUCAACUUAAUAUUCGGAACGUUUUGAAUAGAUUCGAAGGGUGUAACAAACAUGGUUGGAAAAAGGAGGUUGAGUUGUAUCAGGGGUGUAAGUUUGGAGGGGUUUGGAGUUGAGUAGCAGGAGAUGGGGGGUUCCGACGGCCUUUCUGUGAAGAUUUGAGACGAUGUGGGGUCGUUUGAAAGAAAUGGAUUGCAGGAUGGGGAAGGGGAGGUUCGGAUGGUCCUACGGUGUAAAGUUGGGGGGGUUUGGAAUGGGUUCGCCGCAGACGGUGGUUGCGAUGACCUUAUUUUGAAUAUUCGAGACGGGGGAGACUUAUUCGAUGGAAACUAAUCACAGGAUGGGAAAGAGGAGGUUGUGAUGGUUUGAUGGUGUAAAUUUGGGGAGGUUUGGUGACCAGCCGCCACCGUGAGGCAAUUUCCGGCGGCGGCGUUAGGGUGGUAGACGGGUGGUCAAGGGGUGGUCAAGGGGUGGUCAAGGGUGGUGUUACGUCAGAGGUGCACUGUACGAGGAAGAAGAUAAGUUUGUCUCUAAUUCUAUAGAGACGUUUGGACAUAUAUAUCCAAAAAUUGGGCAGGAUUCAGGAUCGUUGGAUGUUUAACUGAUCGACGACUGUGAUGGCCCUAUCUCUAAGCUACAUCGUUUGUGGGGGUGCAUGGUGUGGACUGGAGCAGGGUUUGAUGUUUUAGGCUGGGUCUGUGGGUUUUAGGGGUUAAAUUUUUUGGGCCACUCUGGUCUGGCUCAAUUGUGGCCAGCCUGAGUGGCUGUGAAUAUAUGUAUACAUUUUUUUUUCUUUUGUUUUUUAUUAAUUUUUAAUUUUAUUUAAAAACCAAAAAUUCCUAAUUAACACAAAAAUGCAACAAGAUGAAACAAAAAAUAAUUAAAGAAUGCCAAAAUACUAAUUACACAUAUUUUUGUAUUUUCUAUUUGCAAAAUGACCCUAAUUAACAACUAUUCUAGCAAAAACGUGAAAUUCUAAACGAUUUUAAGCAUGCAUUAAUGAAAACAUGAUGGCACGUAAUCAAAUUCUAAAAUUAAAACCCUAAAAUAAAUAUUCAAAGAAAAAUCCUAAACAUCGAAAGUUCUAUAGGAGCCAUUUUAACAGGGUAAAAAUCAUAUGCUCCCAAUUUCUACUUAGCUUAAUUAGAAGCAUUGUAUAGAAAAUCUUUACCAAAUCAUACACCGUUUGUAACAUGCACGUUGGCAUUUGCUUCGACGAGGAAGACUUGGAAUAUUGUGAAACACAAGGAGCAUCCACGUUCUACUAUAUGCUUUCUAGAUCCAACUAUACGCACUAAAUUCUGACCGUAUAUUUUUUCAGUUGUUAAUGAUUUGACAUGAAAGUUCUAACUUGUAGGUAUUCUUUUAUAUUGUUAAAAUUCAAUUUUUUGACACGCUAACUCCAGCUUAUAGGUGUUUUACAUGUAUGGUCUGAAUCUCUAGUUAUUAUUUUCAACUCUAAUUUAAUCUACAUCUUAACAUUAGUCUGCCAUUUCGUCAAGUUGUCUCGUGUAACAGAUUUAUUGACAAGUAUUAUAGCAGGAUAGGGGGAGUAUAAAUUGUAUCGACAAUUCCUAUCAAGGAAUUGUCAAUAUAUUCUGUAGCUGACUAUAAAUAAAAUACAAAACUUGAUGGAAAAAAAAAACAAUAUUUUAUUCUAAAUGAUUUGUUAGCUUUAAUGCGUAAAAUUUUAAGACUUGGUGAAUUUGUCACUUCAGUAAAGUAGAACAGAUAUCUCUUGUGAAACUGUUUGGAUAUAAACUAAAAAUAAAAGGAUAAAUUUUCAAAAAGUUAAAAUAUUAUCUUGCAUAAAUUAAGUCUUGAAAAGGUAGUGCCAAAAGUAAUCUCGAAAUUUUAACUCUUUUCUCUUUCGGCGCAUGCUAACGUGAACUAACUAACGUGCGCUUGGAAGCUAUGAAAGAAAUAGGUGGGCCAAAGAAAAAUCAGCAGAAAAACGUAGUUGAUGAACAACGAUCAACAGCGACGAGAAAAGCAGUAUUAGAAUUAUUUGUAUCACCUAAGGGAGUUCGAAUUGAAUAUCAAGCUGAAAAUCUCACUCUGAGGAGCAUGAAGAGUGAGAUAAGAAAAGAGAAAGCAGGUCCAUAGCAGAAUAAGGACAAAUUGAAGACAAUUACAGUUGCACUUAUAGCUACUCAAGCAAUUGGAAGUGGAUCUGAGAGUGGGAAAACUCAAAAGCAAGCCAGGAACAACACCAACAAUGGAACAGUACCAUGCAACUAUGGUAUAAUUAAAAGCAGCAAAAAAGAUAAAUCAAAGGCUGUCAAACAGGAUCAGCCAUGAGCAAAUGUGGUAGCAUGGAAUAAACUAGCCAUGAAGGGUAUGAAUAUGUAGUUUAUGGAUCCGAUCGUACAAAACAAUGAUUAAAUUAUAAAAUUAGAAGCGGAGGAUGUCGAGCAGGGAAAUAGUAAAUAGAGAUCUGCGAUUAUUCUAUAUGUGAUAGGGGAUUCACAUACCAUUGGAUUUAUGGAGAGAUUUCUAAGCUCAUUAGUCAAGAAAUCUGGAGGAAAGGGACCAAGUUGUAUACUCUUUGUCACACAUUCUUUUUAUGCACCCCAAAGGUGGUAUAAGGAAGUUUUUCCAAUUUAAGUGACAUUAUUUGAGAUGAGAUUAUUUAUUCAAUUUGUUAAGAGUCGCCACUUGGGAUACGUUAGUUUCUGGUGUCCCAAGUCACUGGUUUAUUUUAAAAUCCCAAAUCGAGGAAAACUCGACUUUCCUUGUGAAGUUUGCGAACCAGAUAUUCUAAAUAAGGAAUUCUAUUAACCCGAGGAAAGGUGUUAGGCACCCCCGGAUUCCGUAGUUCUAGCAUGGUCGCUUAAACUAUCAUAAUUAGCCUAUGAUAUGAUUUUAAUACAUGCUUUAGCCUAGGGUACAAUUUUAACUUUAUAACCGCUUUUAUUCAUUUUUAAGAAAAUUUAACGUCGUCUAAAACAUAUCUUUGGACUGCGCCACAUAAAAUGCACCCGCAUUAUUAAUAAUUAGUGUUGGGCCACAUGAAAUGCACACCCGGGUUUAGGGGAUUAAUUUGUAAAACAGCGCGCCUAAAAGCAACUACGCACUUUCAAGUUUGCGAAGGCCAUGAAAAAUUCAACUAAUGUCACUACUCGAUUUCUAAAGAGUUCAAAUGAGGGCCAUAUGUUAUGAAUUUUGUUUGGCAUGGCAGCCUCAAAUUAUUUCAAAAAAAAGAUUGGAUUCAACUAAAUCAAGCCACAAUGUUCACAAUUUGAGAUUGUUAUUUUUUCUAAAAAUCUGCAACAAUAAUAAUGUAAUAGAGGUUCGUUUUCCAGCAUCCAAGACCGAAAAAAAAAACGUUUCUUCUUUUGCCACUAAAGUAAAUAACACAUCUGAAUACAUUUUCUUUAUAUUCUCAUGACAUUUCUCAAAGGUAUCAUUACCAUCUUAAAGAAUUCCAAGCAUAUAAUCAAGAAUAAGUAACCAGCUAGUUUUGAUGCAUGAUCUUAUUGUAAUUAAUUCUCAAUCAGAAACUGAUCAAUGAAGAGGUUGGCUUAGCAUACUCCUAUUAAAGGAACUCUAAUUAGAAGCUGUAAUUCUCUUAAAUCUUCAAUUGAUACUAAAAUGACACAACUGACUCAUGCGUUGUUGAGCUUCACUCAAAUUGCCAAUUUCCAACCCAUUCAACCAAAGAUAAAAAACCAUAGAAGUGUAAAUUUUGAUCUUCACAUUCCAAACAAUAUCACGGCAGUUCAAAAAUCAACAUCACUGCUUUGUGCUCAAAAUCUCAACAUCGUAAAAAAGGAAAAGAAAAAUAGCAUGGUACAUACUUUAAUUUUAACAUAACUUAAAAUACACCAAGACUAGGGAAACUCAUAUAUGCUUCUUCAAAGUUAGCGACGCUACUUUAACUGUGCUAAGCAUUUUGAGGAACGGAGGAAACAAAGUCACGAUAAUUCCGGGUAGCAAAAAUGUAAACAAUCUCAUCCAAUCUUUAAAAGAUAAGCGGCCAUAAACAGAUAUAACAAGGUAAAUACAAUGAGCAUACAAAACUAAACAUGGACAACAAAAUGAAUAGUUCAAAUUUCAUUUUCCUAGUUUAAAAGAAUUACAGAAAAGUCUUGACAUACCUAGCAGCAAAACGGAAACAAAUUUCAUGAAGACGAGGCAAAUGUUGAAAUCUUUCAAGGUGAAGCCCAGCAGACUAUGUUUAGCCGGAGCAGCAACGACAAUCACAAAGCUGAACUCUAUAGCUUAUAUAAAUCAAAAAAGAGUUUGAGCUUUGAAAUCAGUUUUUUCGGCAAACUUCUUCUUGAAAUUCCAAGUUUCCUUUAUAUUUUUCAGCUUUUAGUGAGAGAGCAGGUGGACGAAACAUAUAUCCAAACAACUUGAAGUUGAAAUCGAACCGCUUGACCGUGUCGAUCCUCUGCUUUUUGAGCGAGAGGUCAAGAGCAUGAAUAGAGAAAAAUGAAGUUUCUUUAGAGAGGAGCCUUUGAUUUUUGUUUCCCUUUUAGGUGUAAUUUUUGAGAGAUUAGAUAUAUUUGUUCUCAAGAAAAGGGGGAGCUCCAUUUUCUGUUUGUUCUUAAGAGGAGGGGGGCCGCCGUUUUCUCGUGAAUCUGAAG